Long non-coding RNA from Xyrauchen texanus (razorback sucker), 633 nucleotides. RefSeq lists it as uncharacterized. NCBI's taxonomy places the organism in Eukaryota, Metazoa, Chordata, Actinopteri, Cypriniformes, Catostomidae. The transcript is spliced from 3 exons. The record is from RefSeq and is a predicted model, not a curated record.
GACUGUGUCACUUACGUGGAAGUCGACGGCCUGUCGAGUGUUUUGUGCGCGCAGGUGCUGGCGUUUGAGAAGGAACACGGAGCAGUGAUAACCGAACCUUGUACGGCUGAGCGGAACGAGUGAGUUAGAGUGUUGUGAAAACGGUGACAGAGCAAUCGCGGCACAGCUGUGCGAGACGAGUGAGUCAGCGUGCAGUUGGAGUCGAGUGCAGCAGACGGCGAGCGGAGUGAUCACGGUUGUACAGCUGUUUGGAGAUGAGUGAGUCCGCGGUUGGUGAAACGGCGCACGGCGACGCAGAGUUUUUACAACGCGGGAAAUUGACUAGACUGGGUAGUGGGAAUCGCUACCCUGUCAUAUUGCAUGUGACAGGGAUGUACAGUGUGGUGUGGGUCUUUGUUGUGCAGUGAGUCUGUGGCUCAGAGGACUUCGUAUGUGCACACCACAAGGACUGAAGGGAGACGAAUGCCAUCCAUACAGCCACAAGUUUCCUUUUCCUGGCAAGAGACAACACCACACGUGCCCCUGCCUGCCAUACCUGGUGUGCAGCAGGUACAACGACAACGGAUAUCGCUGCACCAGCGACUUUAAAAACAUAGAUUUUUAACACUAAAAUGGAGAGCGAAUACAAGAACA